This 199-nucleotide long non-coding RNA is filed under the name Eucalyptus grandis. RNAcentral's name for it is "long non-coding RNA (EGRA_LNC002797)". Lineage: Eukaryota; Viridiplantae; Streptophyta; Magnoliopsida; Myrtales; Myrtaceae. The record is from RNAcentral.
CGCCGUCAAAGAAAGAGAUAGAAAGUGCGAUCGAGCUAGCACCAAGAUGGAGCUAUUCUCGAAGGUUUCUUACCAGUUGUUGUUGUCUGAACUGGUAGAAUUGAAAAUGCCGAUGUGAAGAUUGAUGAAUGAGGUAUUCGUGCAUAUCAGUGUAUUACUUUGGGGAAACAUUAGUUUUGUUUGUGAAAAGAAGAAAGAU